Molecule: transfer RNA, 87 nt
Filed under: Acidobacteriota bacterium
Lineage: Bacteria; Pseudomonadati; Acidobacteriota
Description: tRNA-Leu
Rfam family: tRNA
About the family: Transfer RNA (tRNA) molecules are approximately 80 nucleotides in length.
Source: RNAcentral
GCGAAAGUGGCGGAACUGGCAGACGCGCCGGAUUUAGGAUCCGGUGGCCGCAAGGCUGUGGGGGUUCAAAUCCCCCCUUUCGCACCA